UAGGGAAUCUUCGGCAAUGGACGAAAGUCUGACCGAGCAACGCCGCGUGUGUGAUGAAGGGUUUCGGCUCGUAAAACACUCGUUGUAAGAGAAGAAUGACAUUGAGAGUAACUGUUCAAUGUGUGACGGUAUCUUACCAGAAAGGAACGGCUAAAUACGUGCCAG
This 165-nucleotide ribosomal RNA is filed under the name uncultured bacterium. RNAcentral describes it as "partial 16S rRNA". It matches the Rfam family "Bacterial small subunit ribosomal RNA", at positions 355 to 511 of the family's 1533-position model. The record is from RNAcentral.